RNAcentral lists this ribosomal RNA (1549 nucleotides) under Enterobacteriaceae bacterium A-F18. RNAcentral describes it as "bacterial SSU rRNA". It matches the Rfam family "Bacterial small subunit ribosomal RNA". Lineage: Bacteria; Pseudomonadati; Pseudomonadota; Gammaproteobacteria; Enterobacterales; Enterobacteriaceae. The record is from RNAcentral.
AAAUUGAAGAGUUUGAUCAUGGCUCAGAUUGAACGCUGGCGGCAGGCCUAACACAUGCAAGUCGAACGGUAGCACAGAGAGCUUGCUCUCGGGUGACGAGUGGCGGACGGGUGAGUAAUGUCUGGGAAACUGCCCGAUGGAGGGGGAUAACUACUGGAAACGGUAGCUAAUACCGCAUAAUGUCGCAAGACCAAAGAGGGGGACCUUCGGGCCUCUUGCCAUCGGAUGUGCCCAGAUGGGAUUAGCUUGUUGGUGAGGUAAUGGCUCACCAAGGCGACGAUCCCUAGCUGGUCUGAGAGGAUGACCAGCCACACUGGAACUGAGACACGGUCCAGACUCCUACGGGAGGCAGCAGUGGGGAAUAUUGCACAAUGGGCGCAAGCCUGAUGCAGCCAUGCCGCGUGUAUGAAGAAGGCCUUCGGGUUGUAAAGUACUUUCAGCGGGGAGGAAGGCAAUGCGGUUAAUAACCGUGUUGAUUGACGUUACCCGCAGAAGAAGCACCGGCUAACUCCGUGCCAGCAGCCGCGGUAAUACGGAGGGUGCAAGCGUUAAUCGGAAUUACUGGGCGUAAAGCGCACGCAGGCGGUCUGUCAAGUCGGAUGUGAAAUCCCCGGGCUCAACCUGGGAACUGCAUUCGAAACUGGCAGGCUUGAGUCUUGUAGAGGGGGGUAGAAUUCCAGGUGUAGCGGUGAAAUGCGUAGAGAUCUGGAGGAAUACCGGUGGCGAAGGCGGCCCCUGGACAAAGACUGACGCUCAGGUGCGAAAGCGUGGGGAGCAAACAGGAUUAGAUACCCUGGUAGUCCACGCCGUAAACGAUGUCGACUUGGAGGUUGUGCCCUUGAGGCGUGGCUUCCGGAGCUAACGCGUUAAGUCGACCGCCUGGGGAGUACGGCCGCAAGGUUAAAACUCAAAUGAAUUGACGGGGGCCCGCACAAGCGGUGGAGCAUGUGGUUUAAUUCGAUGCAACGCGAAGAACCUUACCUGGUCUUGACAUCCACGGAAUUUGGCAGAGAUGCCUUAGUGCCUUCGGGAACCGUGAGACAGGUGCUGCAUGGCUGUCGUCAGCUCGUGUUGUGAAAUGUUGGGUUAAGUCCCGCAACGAGCGCAACCCUUAUCCUUUGUUGCCAGCGGUCCGGCCGGGAACUCAAAGGAGACUGCCAGUGAUAAACUGGAGGAAGGUGGGGAUGACGUCAAGUCAUCAUGGCCCUUACGACCAGGGCUACACACGUGCUACAAUGGCAUAUACAAAGAGAAGCGACCUCGCGAGAGCAAGCGGACCUCAUAAAGUAUGUCGUAGUCCGGAUUGGAGUCUGCAACUCGACUCCAUGAAGUCGGAAUCGCUAGUAAUCGUGGAUCAGAAUGCCACGGUGAAUACGUUCCCGGGCCUUGUACACACCGCCCGUCACACCAUGGGAGUGGGUUGCAAAAGAAGUAGGUAGCUUAACCUUCGGGAGGGCGCUUACCACUUUGUGAUUCAUGACUGGGGUGAAGUCGUAACAAGGUAACCGUAGGGGAACCUGCGGUUGGAUCACCUCCUUACCUUAAAGAA